CAGAAAAUAGUUUAAUUGAGAAUCCUGGCUUUGGGAGUCAGGGGUGAGAGUUAAAAUCUCUUUUUUCUGG
This 70-nucleotide transfer RNA is filed under the name Henicorhynchus siamensis (Siamese mud carp). Its description in RNAcentral is "tRNA-Pro". It matches the Rfam family "tRNA". Rfam says of the family: Transfer RNA (tRNA) molecules are approximately 80 nucleotides in length. Their secondary structure includes four short double-helical elements and three loops (D, anti-codon, and T loops). Further hydrogen bonds mediate the characteristic L-shaped molecular structure. tRNAs have two regions of fundamental functional importance: the anti-codon, which is responsible for specific mRNA codon recognition, and the 3' end, to which the tRNAs corresponding amino acid is attached (by aminoacyl-tRNA synthetases). tRNAs cope with the degeneracy of the genetic code in two manners: having more than one tRNA (with a specific anti-codon) for a particular amino acid; and 'wobble' base-pairing, i.e. permitting non-standard base-pairing at the 3rd anti-codon position. Lineage: Eukaryota; Metazoa; Chordata; Actinopteri; Cypriniformes; Cyprinidae. The record is from RNAcentral.